AUAAUGGAGAGUUUGAUCCUGGCUCAGGACGAACGCUGGCGGCGUGCCUAAUACAUGCAAGUCGAGCGGAACCAUUGGAGCUUGCUCCUUUGGUUUAGCGGCGGACGGGUGAGUAACACGUGGGCAACCUGCCCUGCAGAUCGGGAUAACUCCGGGAAACCGGUGCUAAUACCGAAUAGUUUGCGGCCUCUCAUGAGGCUGUAC
This 204-nucleotide ribosomal RNA is filed under the name Streptococcus pneumoniae. RNAcentral's name for it is "partial 16S ribosomal RNA". It matches the Rfam family "Bacterial small subunit ribosomal RNA", at positions 1 to 201 of the family's 1533-position model. The record is from RNAcentral. Lineage: Bacteria; Bacillati; Bacillota; Bacilli; Lactobacillales; Streptococcaceae.